Molecule: ribosomal RNA, 1359 nt
Filed under: uncultured bacterium
Lineage: Bacteria
Description: bacterial SSU rRNA
Rfam family: Bacterial small subunit ribosomal RNA
Source: RNAcentral
GCCUAAUACAUGCAAGUCGAACGGCAGCAGGCCCCGAGCAAUCGGGGUGCUGGCGAGUGGCGCACGGGUGCAUAACACGUAUGUAAUUUGCCCAUAACUGGGGGAUAGCCUUCCGAAAGGAAGAUUAAUACCCCAUAACCCAGCGAGGUGGCAUCACUUUUCUGGUAAAACUCCGGUGGUUAUGGAUAAGCAUGCGUCUGAUUAGCUAGUUGGCGAGGUAACGGCUCACCAAGGCAACGAUCAGUAGGGGGUCUGAGAGGAUGAUCCCCCACACGGGUACUGAGACACGGACCCGACUCCUACGGGAGGCAGCAGUAAGGAAUAUUGGACAAUGGAGGCAACUCUGAUCCAGCCAUGCCGCGUGAAGGAUGAAGGCGCUACGCGUUGUAAACUUCUUUUCUACUAGAAAAAACAUUUGGUUUCGUACCGAAUCUGAUUGUACAGUAGGAAUAAGCAUCGGCUAACUAUGUGCCAGCAGCCGCGGUAAUACAUAGGAUGCAAGCGUUAUCCGGAUUUACUGGGUUUAAAGGGUGUGCAGGUGGGGUAAUAAGUCAGUGGUGAAAGCCCCCGACUCAAUCGGGGAACUGCCAUAGAUACUGUUAUUCUUGAGUGUGGUUGAGGCGGAUGGAAUAUGACAUGUAGCGGUGAAAUGCUUAGAUAUGUCAUAGAACACCGAUCGCGAAGGCAGUCCGCCAAACCAUUACUGACACUGAAACACGAAAGUGCGGGGAUCAAACAGGAUUAGAUACCCUGGUAGUCCGCACCGUAAACGAUGAUCACUCGUUGUUGGCGAUACACAGUCAGCGACUAAGCGAAAGCAUUAAGUGAUCCACCUGGGAAGUACGACCGCAAGGUUGAAACUCAAAGGAAUUGACGGGGGCCCGCACAAGCGGAGGAGCAUGUGGUUUAAUUCGACGCAACGCGAAGAACCUUACCCAGGCUCGAACGGUAGAUGACAUCCUACGAAAGUGGGCUCCCGCAAGGGCAUCUGCCGAGGUGCUGCAUGGUUGUCGUCAGCUCGUGUCGUGAGAUGUUGGGUUAAGUCCCGCAACGAGCGCAACCCUUGUCUUCUGUUGCCAUCGGGUCAAGCCGGGCACUCUGAAGAGACUGCCGGUGACAAACCGGAGGAAGGUGGGGAUGACGUCAAGUCCUCAUGGCCUCUAUGUCCCGGGCCACACACGUGCUACAAUGGGCGGUGCAAAGGGCUGCAAGACCGCGAGGUGGAGCAAAUCCCAUAAAGCCGCCCCCAGUUCGGAUUGGAGUCUGCAACUCGACUCCAUGAAGGUGGAAUCGCUAGUAAUCGCGGAUCAGCACGCCGCGGUGAAUACGUUCCCGGGCCUUGCACACACCGCCCGUCAC